AGGGGACAGGGAAUUUCACAACAAGUGACAAGCAUAGUCAGGAAAUAUUCAUGGGAGAAGAAUAGUAAGUAAGUUAGCUUGGCCAGAGCAUAGAAUAUAUGAAGGAGAGAAGAAUGUAAGAAGACUGUAAAAGAAGUGGAUCAUGGCCAGAGAGGAAGAAUAAAUGGAUCUCAUUUUUGCCAAGAGAUUUGAUCCAUCACUUAUAAGCCCAGUGAAGCCACAUUUUCUGGGUCUCCUUGGUUAGACUGGGUCAGAGAACAUGCUUCUUCACACCAGGAGUCACAUGGAAAAAGAGAUGAGCAUCGUCCAAGACACCAGGGAACCAGGAGACCUCUGACUUCCUCACAUAAGUGGACAUUCAUCCAACACCACCCAUCAGAAAUGAAAACCUGUUUAGGCUUACAGAAUAAGACCUCAAGACCUUUUCAUUAUUGCCACAGGCCUCUUAUCUCAUGUCAAAGGUGAAAACUAUUAGUCUAUCCCACCUCCUUAUCUCCUCACACCUUUAGGUGCCUAAGGAGUCAUUCCUGAGGACUUGGCUACCUCUCCAUAAUCAUACCCUCCCAGAUGCAAGCUCCUAAUGAGCUCACACUAACAAUCUUGAUAUUUUCUUAUUAGGACAGACUUUCACAUCUAGAUUGGGAUAUAGGGACAGACAAAAGGAUAUAGGUCAGAGAGGGCAGGCAGUCUUUUGCCAGGAAUCUAUAAAAUGUUUGUAUCUGCACGUAUGCAUUGGCAUUUGCCAGUAGGGCAUUUUCUCCUUCCUUAUGAGAAAAAAAUAAAGGCUUGCUUCUUCCAUGCCCCCUCUCUGAC
RNAcentral lists this long non-coding RNA (813 nucleotides) under Monodelphis domestica (gray short-tailed opossum). RNAcentral describes it as "lncRNA (ENSMODG00000038626.1)". The record is from RNAcentral. Lineage: Eukaryota; Metazoa; Chordata; Mammalia; Didelphimorphia; Didelphidae.